CCAGAGCUCCCUGGAGGUCAAAGCAACUGAGCAGAGGAAUCAGUCUGUGUUCACCUGUCGGGUUGUGCACGAUUCCCAGCUCCCCGUCAAUGCCAACGCGACGCUGAGACUCUCCCAGGUUCCUGCUGAGCCAGCAGGUCAGAGUCUGUUCUCCAGCCCCGCUCUCUGGAUCGGGCUCGUCCUGGAGAAGGUGCUGACAGCCGCCUUCCUCUUCUUCCUCUUCCUGAGAAGCAAAGCGUAACCAGCCCCUGGUCUAUUUCCCUGUUUUCUCGCACUGUCGCCACCUGCCAACUUCUCUGUCUGCAGCCUCUGUCCCCCAGAGCAGGAAACCAGUCCCUAGAUGGUGGAGCUGCAGUGACCCCUGCUGGCCAAUCAGAUGGAGCCCAGGCUUGACAGAGCGAAGGUGAAGGGGUGACCUGGUUACAAUCUAUAAGUACCUACGUGACAUGGGGAACGAACAUUUCAUAAUGGGCUCGUCAGUCUGGCAGAUAAAAGUCUGACACACGAUCCAAUGGCUGGAAGUUGAAAUCAGACAAAUUCUGACUGGAAAUGAGGCCUAAAUUUUUAAUGGUGAGAGUAAUUAACCAUUGGAACAAUUUACCAAGAGUUGUGGUGGAUUCUCCAUCAC
Molecule: non-coding RNA, 628 nt
Organism: Chrysemys picta bellii (western painted turtle)
Lineage: Eukaryota; Metazoa; Chordata; Testudines; Emydidae
Source: RefSeq, a predicted model, not a curated record